RNAcentral lists this small nuclear RNA (22 nucleotides) under Arabidopsis thaliana (thale cress). RNAcentral's name for it is "snRNA_08260". Lineage: Eukaryota; Viridiplantae; Streptophyta; Magnoliopsida; Brassicales; Brassicaceae. The record is from RNAcentral.
UUUUUGUGGUUAUGUUUGACUU